UACGGAGGUUGCAAGCGUUGUUCGGAAUUACUGGGCGUAAAGGGAGCGCAGGCGGUCGGGUCUGUCUGAAGUGAAAGCCCGUGGCUUAACCACGGAAGUGCUUUGGAUACUACCCGGCUUGAGUACGCGAGAGGAGAGCUGAAUUCCAGGUGUAGCGGUGAAAUGCGUAGAUAUCUGGAGGAACACCGGUGGCGAAAGCGGCUCUCUGGCGCGUUAUUGACGCUGAGGCACGAAAGCGUGGGGAGCAAACAGG
Molecule: ribosomal RNA, 253 nt
Filed under: uncultured bacterium
Lineage: Bacteria
Description: partial 16S ribosomal RNA
Rfam family: Bacterial small subunit ribosomal RNA
Source: RNAcentral